Molecule: non-coding RNA, 353 nt
Organism: Xanthomonas sp. Mitacek01
Lineage: Bacteria; Pseudomonadati; Pseudomonadota; Gammaproteobacteria; Lysobacterales; Lysobacteraceae
Source: Rfam
GGGGGUGCACUGGCUUCGACGGGGGUCGCGAAAUUGCCUGGUGCAUGCCGAGGGGGCAGCUUUCCUCGUAAAUCCAGCGGCAAAACUCUAGUUGCCAACGACGACAACUACGCUCUCGCCGCUUAAGGCGUAAGCCCCGAACCCACUUGUGCUCGUGCUCGUGGAUGUAGGGUCAUUAUCACGAGAACCAGCCGCGGCGGCCGCCUGUCUGCCGUGGUUGAACUCACAGGCUGGUUCCGGGAUGCGCUUCGCGCACCGUGCUGUUCCGGGACGAGAUCCAACGGUGCGCUAAGCAUGUAGUACCGGGGAUGGAGUGCCUUCGGACGCGGGUUCAAUUCCCGCCACCUCCACCA